AGUUCUCAGGCCCGCUGUGGUG
This 22-nucleotide microRNA is filed under the name Mus musculus (house mouse). Its description in RNAcentral is "Mmu-Mir-3067_5p (mature (guide))". Lineage: Eukaryota; Metazoa; Chordata; Mammalia; Rodentia; Muridae. The record is from RNAcentral.